CAAAAUGGCAGGCGUGGAUGUAAACAUGUGCGGAGAGAUGUUCAUUGUUGUGGAUUGAUACUAUGCGUGUGGAUGUCAAACUAUGCAGGAAAUAUGACUCCUAUACUACUUUUGUUGUGUAGAAGAGGUGAAAGGUGCGGGGUACCCGUGUCAUGGUGUUUGAUUCCAUAUGCUGUAUGCUCCAGUGACUCAUUACAAUCAACUGCUUCAGCCCCUAAGUUGAAUUUAUCCAAAUGCAUUUAACAUGUUUUUGGCUUAUGCGUGAGACUAUCUGCAUCAAUUGGUGAAUUUGCUGGUUCUACCUCCCUAUGUUCCUGCCUGUUACCCAGCUUUUCCUAUGUGGAGACCAUCGGCAUGAUUUUGUACAAGGAAAACAAUUAUGUGCAUUUAUAACCUUCAAACAGAAAUAUCAACAUGAUUAUAUCUGUUAAUUAUAAAUAUACAAACCUAACCUUAGU
Magallana angulata is the source of this 458-nucleotide long non-coding RNA. RefSeq lists it as uncharacterized. The transcript is spliced from 3 exons. NCBI's taxonomy places the organism in Eukaryota, Metazoa, Mollusca, Bivalvia, Ostreida, Ostreidae. The record is from RefSeq and is a predicted model, not a curated record.